This 198-nucleotide small nuclear RNA is filed under the name Salmo salar (Atlantic salmon). Its description in RNAcentral is "U2 spliceosomal RNA". It matches the Rfam family "U2 spliceosomal RNA". Rfam says of the family: U2 is a small nuclear RNA (snRNA) component of the spliceosome (involved in pre-mRNA splicing). Complementary binding between U2 snRNA (in an area lying towards the 5' end but 3' to hairpin I) and the branchpoint sequence (BPS) of the intron results the bulging out of an unpaired adenosine, on the BPS, which initiates a nucleophilic attack at the intronic 5' splice site, thus starting the first of two transesterification reactions that mediate splicing. The record is from Rfam by way of RNAcentral. Lineage: Eukaryota; Metazoa; Chordata; Actinopteri; Salmoniformes; Salmonidae.
AUCGCUUCUCGGCCUUUUUGGCUCAGAUCAAGUGUAGUAUCUGUUUCUUAUCAGUUUAAUAUCUGAUACGUCCCCCCAUCCGGGGGACUACAUAUUAAAUGGAUUUUUCGAACAGGGAGUCCGGAAAUGGGGGCUUGCUCCGUCCGCUCCACGCAUCGACCCGGUAUUGCAGUACCUCCGGGAAACGGUGCAACACUU